UUCACGCAUGGGCGUGGCGUGGCUCAGACCCAGCCCUCAGCGCCUGACGUCGCGCCUGUGUCACCCACCGAGGCCCAGCGUGCAGCUUUCGAGGUCUUAGGCUUUCGGUCCUCAGGCGUCCCGAAGGCAAGGCCCCCUGGUCCCCGCUUCCGUGCAGCCACCCCCACCCCUGCCCACCCUGGCCGGAGCCGCGCCCCCGGCUAGCACAGCAGGGGCUAGCACAGCAGGAACAGGACCACGACAAGGUCCACAGCCCUCUCUCCGGCACCUGAAGGACCUUGCGCUGCUCUGGGGAGGCCCGCUGCAGACACUGAACCACCAGCCAGCUGCAUUUGUUGUCCUGGAUGUCCGUGCCGAUCUUGCCUGUCACACUAGGGUCCCCAAAGAGAUCAAGGUAAUCAUCCUGGCAGGGGCAGAAAAGGCAGAGUGGAGAGGCUCCGGAGACAGGAAGCUGUGGCCUGCCCCCACAGGCACCUUCCUACCUGCACCUGGAAGAACUCCCCCAUCUCCAGCAGGAUCUUCCUGGCGCUGGCGUGCUCCUUCUCCCCGUCGAUGCCCGCCUACGGCGGAAAGGGGAGCGACAUGCCUGGCCGCCCGGAUGCAGGACGUCUGGACCGUCCAACCUCUAUCCUCUUAUGCCAGCGGGGCCUCCGGGUGAGGGCCAGCAGAGGCGGGUCAGCCCCAGAGGCCUGCGGACCCCGGGCAACACUCUUCUUCCUAACCCUUCACCAUUUACCACUUCUGCGCGAUGAAAAGGGAAAUGGAGAAGCGAGGUCAGCGCAGGCAGUUAGCCCAGGGUUCUCCACAUCACACCAUGUGACCUCCUCCCCACUCCCAUCCAGACUCGACGGGCUGACUGCUUUCACGUCCCUUGCCUUGGCUAAUGGUCAUAAAAAUCCUGGGGAGGGAACUUUAUCAUCUUACAGCUGAGAGCAGGCUCAGACAGCUUAAGUAACUUGGUCAAGGCCACACAGCCACGCAGUGGGGGCACGAGACUGCCCGAAGACGUCUGCUUUGUGCCCUCUUGUCCAAAAGUCCCAUCGGGGGGCGGCAAGGGUGGGAAGGCUCACUCACCAUGUACAUGGCGGCAGCCACAGGAAGAUAGAACGAGUAGAAAGCGGUCUUAUACUUGACGAUGGACUUGUACCUGGGCAGGGGAGAAGAUACACUGCUCAGAAGGGCAGUGCCCAGCACAGCCCUCCCGGGCCGUCCAGAUGCAGUUCCCACCAUCCCUCACCUCUUUUCAGUGAAUCUGCUGAGAUCCACAUUGCCCUGGGGGGCCGUGAUGAGGUCCAGCGUCUGUCCGAGCUCAGUCUGAUAGGUACUCUGAGGAGGAAGAUGGCCCAUAACCUUGCCUUUCUCCAGGGCUGGGAAACCCUGAAAUCCCGGGACCCACAUCCCACGCCAUGGGCAGUCAGAGAGGCAGCAAGGACAGGGCCCUUGGGGUGCCCGGGGGGCACAGUUGGUUAAGCGUCUGACUCUUGAUCUCGGCUCAGGUCAGGAUCUCACGGUUCGAGCCCUGUAUCACGCCCUG
Long non-coding RNA from Leopardus geoffroyi (Geoffroy's cat), 1534 nucleotides. RefSeq lists it as uncharacterized. The record is from RefSeq and is a predicted model, not a curated record. Lineage: Eukaryota; Metazoa; Chordata; Mammalia; Carnivora; Felidae. The transcript is spliced from 3 exons.